UAGGGAAUCUUCCGCAAUGGACGAAAGCCUGACGGAGCAACGCCGCGUGAGUGAAGAAGGUCUUCGGAUCGUAAAACUCUGUUAUUAGGGAAGAACAAAUGUGUAAGUAACUAUGCACGUCUUGACGGUACCUAAUCAGAAAGCCACGGCUAACUACGUGCCAGCAGCCGCGGUAAUACGUAGGUGGCAAGCGUUAUCCGGAAUUAUUGGGCGUAAAGCGCGCGUAGGCGGUUUUUUAAGUCUGAUGUGAAAGCCCACGGCUCAACCGUGGAGGGUCAUUGGAAACUGGAAAACUUGAGUGCAGAAGAGGAAAGUGGAAUUCCAUGUGUAGCGGUGAAAUGCGCAGAGAUAUGGAGGAACACCAGUGGCGAAGGCGACUUUCUGGUCUGUAACUGACGCUGAUGUGCGAAAGCGUGGGGAUCAAACA
Molecule: ribosomal RNA, 427 nt
Filed under: uncultured bacterium
Lineage: Bacteria
Description: partial 16S ribosomal RNA
Rfam family: Bacterial small subunit ribosomal RNA
Source: RNAcentral